Vespula pensylvanica (western yellowjacket) is the source of this 863-nucleotide RNA transcript. RefSeq lists it as uncharacterized. The transcript has 2 exons. NCBI's taxonomy places the organism in Eukaryota, Metazoa, Arthropoda, Insecta, Hymenoptera, Vespidae. The record is from RefSeq and is a predicted model, not a curated record.
UCAAAACUUGAAAGUAUUGAUCGUGACGCAACGGAUAUGACGAAAAUUUCAUUAUUUAUCGAAAGUAAAUAUAACAACAACAACAACAACAACAACAACAACAAUAAUAAUACAUUAUAACGAUAAAGUCGAUCGGUAUUUUUUUUUUUUCCUUUUGAAAUUUCCCGCCAAUAAGGAUCGAAUUGAAAACUUGUACUGAUAAUAUCUGCGGUAAGAGGAAUAAAGAAAGAAAAAAGCUUGUUUCUCGAGUUUUUCUUCGCACGUUAAAUCGACUUACGUAUUUACAACGUUUCAUAAACGUUUGCAAAGUUUCGUCGUAGGCUUCUUUCGCAAGAAGCAAGAAGGAAGAACCGCGAAGUGCUAUCGUCGUUCGUCGUUCGCUAGCGGUGCCAGAGGCGGGGGUUAUCAUGUAGGCCACGUGACGUCAUAUCGUGCUCUGCCGCCAACAAAAUGGCCGCCGUUGUAUCUCGGUAGCGGGUCAGAGCGGAACAGUAAAAAUUUCCUUCUCGUAACUAACUAAGUAAGUGGAUUUCGUUCGGCGUCGGGGCGUUCGAAAAUUGGUAUUGGCGUGGCCUGGAGCGGCAGCAGCCGCAGCACCAGCAGCAACAGCAGCAACAGCAGCGAUAGUAGUACCAGCAGCGAUGGAAGCACCAGUACCGGGAGUUUCUACUUGGAACGGCGGUACCGGGGGUAUGGCAAGAGCGUAACUAUAAUGAAGGCAACCCCCGUUCGUCCCACAACACCCCUCGACAUCGCCACUGCCAUCCCUGCUGCCACCCGCCGCCUCGUUGGCCAACCGCCCCUUUCUCUCUCUAUCUCUAUCUGGCUCGCUCUCUCUCUCAUUCUCUCUCACUCUCUCUCUC